This is a long non-coding RNA of Pipistrellus kuhlii (Kuhl's pipistrelle), 486 nucleotides long. RefSeq lists it as uncharacterized. The transcript has 3 exons. Lineage: Eukaryota; Metazoa; Chordata; Mammalia; Chiroptera; Vespertilionidae. The record is from RefSeq and is a predicted model, not a curated record.
CUGUAUUUGAAAGAUAAUGCCUACCUUCUCGUUUCCCCACCAAUUUGGAAGUAUACAAAGCAAGUUUCUUUGCAAGAAAACACGUCAGGGCCUCUUGGCCCUUUUGGCCCCAGCUAGGAACAAGGGUGUGCAGGCCCCAGAUUUAGCCUUGCUUUCCCCCACUCCCCGCCCAGCUUCCCAUUAACCAAGGUGUCCCGCCACUUUGUCAGGUACACACACGCGUUUCACCCCCCACUUUCUUCUUUCGAAAUCUUCCCGGCUGCAGAGAGAAGGGAGCAAAAGCAAAACGAAAGCACCCGGGCCGGCCGCAUCAGCUGGAGCAGCUUCCCAGAGCUCAGCCAGCCGGGGGUGACCAAGGUCUGGGGUCAGGAGGCAAGGGUGGGCGCCCCAACUUCGUGGAAACCGGGUUGUGAGUGGUAUGGGGAGGGCGCGGGAAAACUCCUCCUCUUGGGAAAAGUCAAGGGUAUGAUAAUAUAUAUCAACCCA